RNAcentral lists this ribosomal RNA (254 nucleotides) under uncultured bacterium. Its description in RNAcentral is "partial 16S ribosomal RNA". It matches the Rfam family "Bacterial small subunit ribosomal RNA", at positions 524 to 776 of the family's 1533-position model. The record is from RNAcentral.
UACGGGGGGAGCAAGCGUUGUUCGGAUUUACUGGGCGUAAAGGGCGCGUAGGCGGCCACCGCAAGUCAAUUGUGAAAUCUCCGGGCUUAACUCGGAAAGGUCAACUGAUACUGCGGGGCUAGAGUGCGGAAGGGGCAACUGGAAUUCUCGGUGUAGCGGUGAAAUGCGUAGACAUCGAGAGGAACACCUGCGGCGAAGGCGGGUUGCUGGGCCGACACUGACGCUGAUGCGCGAAAGCCAGGGGAGCGAACGGG